GUGGGGAAUUUUGGACAAUGGGCGCAAGCCUGAUCCAGCAAUGCCGCGUGUGUGAAGAAGGCCUUCGGGUUGUAAAGCACUUUUGUCCGGAAAGAAAUCUCCUGGGUUAAUACCUCGGGGGGAUGACUGUACCGGAAGAAUAAGCACCGGCUAACUACGUGCCAGCAGCCGCGGUAAUACGUAGGGUGCGAGCGUUAAUCGGAAUUACUGGGCGUAAAGCGUGCGCAGGCGGCUAUGCAAGACAGAUGUGAAAUCCCCGGGCUCAACCUGGGAACUGCAUUUGUGACUGCAUGGCUAGAGUGCGUCAGAGGGAGGUGGAAUUCCGCGUGUAGCAGUGAAAUGCGUAGAGAUGCGGAGGAACACCGAUGGCGAAGGCAGCCUCCUGGGAUGACACUGACGCUCAUGCACGAAAGCGUGGGGAGCAAACAGGAUUAGAAACCCCAGUAGUCC
RNAcentral lists this ribosomal RNA (450 nucleotides) under uncultured bacterium. RNAcentral's name for it is "partial 16S ribosomal RNA". It matches the Rfam family "Bacterial small subunit ribosomal RNA", at positions 354 to 796 of the family's 1533-position model. The record is from RNAcentral.